Molecule: ribosomal RNA, 403 nt
Filed under: uncultured Clostridium sp.
Lineage: Bacteria; Bacillati; Bacillota; Clostridia; Eubacteriales; Clostridiaceae
Description: bacterial SSU rRNA
Rfam family: Bacterial small subunit ribosomal RNA
Source: RNAcentral
UGGGGGAUAUUGCACAAUGGGGGAAACCCUGAUGCAGCGAUGCCGCGUGAAUGAAGACGGCCUUCGGGUUGUAAAGUUCUGUCGCAGGGGACGAAGAUGACGGUACCCUGAAAGAAAGCUCCGGCUAACUACGUGCCAGCAGCCGCGGUAAUACGUAGGGAGCAAGCGUUGUCCGGAAUUACUGGGUGUAAAGGGAGCGUAGGCGGGAGGAUAAGUUGAAUGUGAAAUCCAGAGGCUCAACCUCUGGCUGCGUUCAAAACUGUUUUUCUUGAGUGAAGUAGAGGCAGGCGGAAUUCCUAGUGUAGCGGUGAAAUGCGUAGAUAUUAGGAGGAACACCAGUGGCGAAGGCGGCCUGCUGGGCUUUUACUGACGCUGAGGCUCGAAAGCGUGGGUAGCAAACAGG